UCGGGAAGGGUCCGAAUAGUUCGGCAAAGCACCCCGACAGUUAAGUGCGUCCCGUAACAUUCGGAGAAACUCAGCCGAUUUUGUCUAGUCGGAUUACAAUCGUGCCUAUGUCGUGACAGAUUCUGCUGUAUCGGAUCGAAUUCCUAACAAUGUUCUGUGUAUUCGGGACGGUGUCCUGUGGAACGGGAAUGAUCUGGAGAAAUUUUUCAUUGCUGUUUUUCUGCCGAUUGAGUCCAGAUUGCAUCCAGAUCUUGUCGAUUGCGAACCGUUUUCGCCGAAACCGUUCCGAAACAGUCCCGUUAUUAAUGCUAAAUUCGUUAAUGAUACCCACGUCAGAGUCCCGACAAUUACAGAAUACAAUACGACUGAGACCAGACAAAGCCGUUUGCAAUGCGAUAGAGCGGAC
This 406-nucleotide long non-coding RNA is filed under the name Mytilus galloprovincialis (Mediterranean mussel). The record is from RNAcentral. Lineage: Eukaryota; Metazoa; Mollusca; Bivalvia; Mytilida; Mytilidae.